UACGUAGGGGGCUAGCGUUGCUCGGAAUCACUGGGCGUAAAGGGUGCGUAGGCGGGGCUUUAAGUCAGGGGUGAAAUCCUGGAGCUCAACUCCAGAACUGCCUUUGAUACUGAGGAUCUUGAGUUCGGGAGAGGUGAGUGGAACUGCGAGUGUAGAGGUGAAAUUCGUAGAUAUUCGCAAGAACACCAGUGGCGAAGGCGGCUCACUGGCCCGAUACUGACGCUGAGGCACGAAAGCGUGGGGAGCAAACAGG
Molecule: ribosomal RNA, 253 nt
Filed under: uncultured bacterium
Lineage: Bacteria
Description: partial 16S ribosomal RNA
Rfam family: Bacterial small subunit ribosomal RNA
Source: RNAcentral